Molecule: non-coding RNA, 203 nt
Filed under: Nocardiopsis sp.
Lineage: Bacteria; Bacillati; Actinomycetota; Actinomycetes; Streptosporangiales; Nocardiopsidaceae
Also listed under: 1 other name
Source: RNAcentral
AGUAUCUGUCCCGCUGGUGGUUCACCGGGGUCGAAAGAUCCGGGUGACGAGAGAGGGAACCCGGUGAGAGUCCGGGACUGCCCCGCAGCGGUGAGUGGGAACGAAGGUCGUCACAGGCACUGGGAACCCCCGAAGGUCCCGGGAAGCGACGGCGUAGUAGGACGCCCACGAGUCCGAAAACCUGCCAUCGGCACGCACCCCCA